AGGUUACUGCUAUCGGUGUUCGCCUAAGCCAUGCGAGUCAUAUGUUCGUAAGAACAUGGCGUACUGCUCAGUAACACGUGGAUAAGCUGCCUUGGGUCCGGCAUAACCCCGGGAAACUGGGGAUAAUUCCGGAUAACGCACAUAUGCUGGAAUGCUUUAUGCGUAAAAUGGAUUCGUCUGCCACAAGGAUGGGUCUGCGCCCUAUCAGGUAGUAGUGGGUGUAAUGUACCUACUAGCCUACGACGGGUACGGGUUGUGAGAGCAAGAGCCCGGAGAUGGAUUCUGAGACAUGAAUCCAGGCCCUACGGGGCGCAGCAGGCGCGAAAACUUUACAAUGCGGGAAACCGUGAUAAGGGGACACCGAGUGCCAGCAUCCUAUGCUGGCUGUCCGGGUGUGUAAAAUACACCUGUUAGCAAGGGCCGGGCAAGACCGGUGCCAGCCGCCGCGGUAACACCGGCGGCCCGAGUGGUGAUCGUGAUUAUUGGGUCUAAAGGGUCCGUAGCCGGUUUGGUCAGUCCUCCGGGAAAUCUGACAGCUUAACUGUUAGGCUUUCGGAGGAUACUGCCAGACUUGGAACCGGGAGAGGUAAGAGGUACUACAGGGGUAGGAGUGAAAUCUUGUAAUCCCUGUGGGACCACCUGUGGCGAAGGCGUCUUACCAGAACGGGUUCGACGGUGAGGGACGAAAGCUGGGGGCACGAACCGGAUUAGAUACCCGGGUAGUCCCAGCCGUAAACGAUGCUCGCUAGGUGUCAGGCAUGGCGCGACCGUGUCUGGUGCCGCAGGGAAGCCGUGAAGCGAGCCACCUGGGAAGUACGGCCGCAAGGCUGAAACUUAA
RNAcentral lists this ribosomal RNA (838 nucleotides) under uncultured soil archaeon. RNAcentral describes it as "bacterial SSU rRNA". It matches the Rfam family "Archaeal small subunit ribosomal RNA", at positions 21 to 859 of the family's 1478-position model. The record is from RNAcentral.